GGACCCGCACAAGCAGUGGAGCAUGUGGUUUAAUUCGAAGAUACGCGCAGAACCUUACCAACACUUGACAUGUUCGUCGCGACUUUAAGAGAUUAGAGUUUUCGGUUCGGCCGGACGAAACACAGGUGCUGCAUGGCUGUCGUCAGCUCGUGUCGUGAGAUGUUGGGUUAAGUCCCGCAACGAGCGCAACCCUCACUUUUAGUUGCCAUCAUUAAGUUGGGCACUCUGAAAGAACUGCCAGUGAUAAGCUGGAGGAAGGUGGGGAUGACGUCAAGUCCUCAUGGCCCUUACGUGUUGGGCUACACACGUGCUACAAUGGUAUCUACAACAGGAAGCAAGACUGCGAAGUUAAGCAAAUCCUUAAAAGAUACCUCAGUUCGGAUUGCACUCUGCAACUCGAGUGCAUGAAGCUGGAAUUACUAGUAAUCGU
This 430-nucleotide ribosomal RNA is filed under the name uncultured bacterium. RNAcentral's name for it is "bacterial SSU rRNA". It matches the Rfam family "Bacterial small subunit ribosomal RNA", at positions 917 to 1345 of the family's 1533-position model. The record is from RNAcentral.